Molecule: ribosomal RNA, 845 nt
Filed under: uncultured Glomeraceae
Lineage: Eukaryota; Fungi; Glomeromycota; Glomeromycetes; Glomerales; Glomeraceae
Description: eukaryotic LSU rRNA
Rfam family: Eukaryotic large subunit ribosomal RNA
Source: RNAcentral
GACCUCAAAUCAGGUAGGAACACCCGCUGAACUUAAGCAUAUCAAUAAGCGGAGGAAAAGAAAAUAACAAUGAUUCCCCUAGUAACUGCGAGUGAAGAGGGACAAGCUCAAAUUUUAAAUCUAUCGGGUUUUACCUGAUCGAGUUGUAAUUUGAAGAAGCGUUUUCUGCGUAUUUGGUCAGCCUAAGUCCUAUUGAAUGAGGCAUCAUGGAGGGUGAUAAUCCCGUCCGGUUGAUCAUUUGCGUUUUACGAUACGCUUUCUAAGAGUCAAGUUGUUUGGGAUUGCAGCUUAAAAUGGGAGGUAAAUUUCUCCUAAGGCUAAAUAACGGCGAGAGACCGAUAGCGAACAAGUACCGUGAGGGAAAGAUGAAAAGAACUUUGAAAAGAGAGUUAAACAGUACGUGAAAUUGUUGAAAGGGAAACGAUUGAAGCCAGUCGUACCUUCGGGUAAUCAGCCUUUCGGGUGCGAUUCUGUGGAGUGUGAGGAGCUUAAACACCUUCAUGUUUUGCAUAUUCGUACUCUUGGGUGUACUUGCCCGUGUGGUUGGUUAACAUCAAUUUUGGUGGUCAUAAAAUGACUGGAGGAAUGUAGCUUCGAUCUUGUAUUGAAGUGUUAUAGCCUUCGGUAGAUGUGAUGAUCGAGAUUGAGGAUUGCAACGGAUACCCUUCGGGGCUACCUGUCUGGUCUCUGAUCGUUGCUCUGGUGCCGAAAGCUUGCUUACGGUUAUCAAAGUCGAUGGUCAAUAGGUUAGAAUGGGUUAAAUUCGUUAAGGAUGUUGACGUAAUGGCUUUAAACGACCCGUCUUGAAACACGGACCAAGGAGUCUAACAUAUAUGCGAGUGUUC